This 1600-nucleotide long non-coding RNA is filed under the name Medicago truncatula (barrel medic). RNAcentral describes it as "long non-coding RNA (MTRU_LNC001531)". Lineage: Eukaryota; Viridiplantae; Streptophyta; Magnoliopsida; Fabales; Fabaceae. The record is from RNAcentral.
CAAAGUAUGCAUUCCUAUCCUGUUCUUCCUAUCUAUAGUUACAAGGCUUUUCUCUUCAACGAUUGUUAUUCCAAUUUCCAGGAAACCCCCAUAGUAAGCUAAUGUCUUGAUUGAAGAGUUUUUAACAGAUAACCAAAUUUAUAGAUAUGAAAUAUAGCAUGUUAUUAAUUAGUAUCAAUUGACAUAUAACCGUGUACCUUGAAUGGUUGAAGGAGAUCCCAUGUUGAAUUGGAAGUGACUUCAGAGAAUUAGGUUUUGAGAGCUCUUCUGACUCCUUACUGAUUGAGCGUACUUGCAAUUUUUCGUGUAGUUAACCUAAUGAGAUAAUUAGCUUAUAUACUCAUUAGUGGAGGCAGGGACCUGAUGAGUCAUUAAUAUGUUAUUUUAAUAUGCUUUUUAGUUUAGAUUUUAUAUAAAUUUAUAUUAGUAUUAUUUCCUUUCUAGGAUAGUUUACUUUAAAAUGCAAUCUAUUAUAUUUCAGGAAGGAAUAUUUGAUGGAAAGAGUCUUGGAGCAAAAGAAAGGGAUUUGGAGCAGAUUGGACACAAAAACAUGAAGAUUGGGAAGCAAAAUAUAUCUCCCACAAGUCAGAAGCUUGGCACGGCCCGUGCUAGCCUUGGCACGGCCGUGCCACCCUCCAGAUGCCUUUUGCUGCUUUUGCUUUGACUCCAAGCUAUUCUAUUUUGGCGCACAAUCUACCGAGGAAUAUUCUAGGAAUAUACUUGCUUAGAUUCUAAGUCAAUUGUGUACUAUAAAUAGAGUAGCUAGCCAUCACUAAUAUUCAUCUUUACUUGGAAUACAAUACGUGACAUUUGCUUUCUAAAUAAAGUUCUUUUCCUUUAUUUCUUUGUCUUUUACUUUCAUGCUUUCUCUCUUCUCCCCCAUGUCUACGAUGAACAUGAGUGAGUAGACUUCUUCCUGUCUUGGGAUUGUUGGAUAAGUCUAAAUGACAUAAUCCUAAUCAAACCAAGCCCUAAGCCUUAAUCUUAUGUAACCCUAAUUUCUUAUCUGAAUUCACCGUCUUAACAUGGAUUAACCAUUAUCAAACUGUGGAAACGUUUGAUAAUUGUUCGUCCAUUAUUCCAAAUAUCAAUUCAUAAAACGAAAGUGAAGCUUUGAUAUUCGAACAAGUGAAUUCAGACAAGGAUUGCAAAGUCAGCGAAAUAGGCUUUGCAAUCUUUGAGACAUAUAGUUUCGAUCUUCAAGGGAACUAAUAACAAUCAAGUCAGCGAAAUAGGCUUGGUUGUUAGAGGAACCAAAAUCCAAUAGUAAUCAAGUCAGCGAAAUAGGCUUGGUUUCUAGAGGAACAUAAGAGAAACUGUCUUGAGAAAUUAGGUCUAACAUAACAUUAUAAGCUUAUGGUUUCGGUUUGAGAAGGACUUGUUAUUUAGAUGAAACCAACGAUCCCAAGGCUCCAACGAUCCCAAGGCUCUUUUAUUAUAUUAUUUUUAACCGUUCAAAACCCCCAAUUUACAACUUCGAUAAGACCGUGCACUUGCGGUUUUAUCUCAUCAGGACCUCUCAAAUGGGCCGACUAUUAAGAACGGUCCAACCCAUCACAGUCCGUUCACAAUAAGCCCAAUAUAUAAAUACCAAGUACAA